AGGAGGAGUAGGGGUUGAUUACACCCUGCGGUUCUGGGAUGCAACGGAGCACUGUGCUAUUUUUACUCGGUCAUUCAGUGGCAGAAGGCACUGCGAAAUGCAUGUGUGGGACGACCACGUUAGACGACACGUGCCACAGUGCCAAAUGGCAUACAAGAAGUAUUGUUUCAGUCUACCAGAAUAUCCUCUCUAUACACGCCAAUGCGAUCCCUGAUUGCAAAAGAGGAUAUGUGUGCUAAUCUGGCACAAACUUCUCCUUGCACAAAUAUAACAAUUUGUUGUA
Dermacentor andersoni is the source of this 283-nucleotide long non-coding RNA. RefSeq lists it as uncharacterized. The record is from RefSeq and is a predicted model, not a curated record. Lineage: Eukaryota; Metazoa; Arthropoda; Arachnida; Ixodida; Ixodidae.